RNAcentral lists this ribosomal RNA (777 nucleotides) under uncultured Neocallimastigales. Its description in RNAcentral is "partial large subunit ribosomal RNA". It matches the Rfam family "Eukaryotic large subunit ribosomal RNA", at positions 24 to 647 of the family's 3401-position model. Lineage: Eukaryota; Fungi; Neocallimastigomycota; Neocallimastigomycetes; Neocallimastigales. The record is from RNAcentral.
UAUCUCUGUAGAGUCUGCAUAUCAAUAAGCGGAGGAAAAGAAACUAACUAGGACUUCCCUUAGUAACGGCGAGUGAAGCGGGAAGAGCUCAAAUUUGAAAUCUUCAAGGUUCUACCUUGACGAAUUGUAGUUUAAAGAAGUGUUUUCUGUUAGAUGAGUAGCAAAAGUUCCUUGGAAUGGGACAUCAUAGAGGGUGAGAAUCCCGUAUUUGGUUAUUCAUUCUAGCUUUGUGAUACACUUUCAAAGAGUCGGAUUGUUUGGGAAUGCAGUCCAAAAUGGGUGGUAAAUUUCAUCUAAAGCUAAAUAUUGGCGAGAGACCGAUAGCGAACAAGUACCGUGAGGGAAAGAUGAAAAGAACUUUGAAAAGAGAGUUAAACAGUACGUGAAAUUGUCAAAAGGGAAGCGUUUGACACCAGUGUUGUUUUUCCGAAAAUCAAUUACGAAUGGCUUGAUUCUGUGUUGUAUUGACCUUAUCAGCUUUCUGCACUUUUUUUCGAGUCUUUCUUAAUGCACUUUUUCGGUUAACAAGUCAACAUCAAUUUCUUUUGUUGUAAAAGAGUAUUCGGAAGGUGGCUUUCUUUUCGGAGAAAGUGUUUAUAGCCCUAUACUUCUACAAUCGGAGAGAUUGAGGUCUGCAGCGUAGAUCCUUCGGGGUUAGAUACACUUGUGCUAAGUUGUAGCUUUUCAUAGACAACUUGUUGACUAUGUUUAGUCAUGCGGCUUACUCGCUUGUGCUAUUUUACCUACGCUUAGGAUGUUGACGAGACUGUCGAUCUC